CCCGCCACCCCAGCGCCGGCCCCACUCACCCUUUCAUUCUCCGCCCCGGGCCUGGCGUGGGCCGGCAAAUCCCCGGCCUCACAUCAGAGUGAGAGGCGCUGGCAAUGGACUAGGAGGCUCGGCUGCCGCUGCUAUUGCUCCCCCCUGGGCUUCAGUGAGAGCCUUUCCCUGUCAAGCAAGAGGGGUGAGGAUCAUAUUUUUAUUUUGGAAAGUAAAAAGUGCUCCCAGGGUCGGUGAUUAUUAAGGGGAAAUCCCUGAAUAUACUCUCCAGCCAAGAAGGCAGGGCUGCCGGGGCUGCACAAGAAGAGGCAGCAGCCUCCUACAGCACCACUACAGGCACUGCGAGGACAUAACACCAGAGAGUGGCUCCUCUGCCCUCCGAAACGACAACUUUCCUACCAUCUUGGAGGCAGAGCAAAGGGGGGCCAGGGGGAAAAGUGCACUCGCUCCCCGAUAAAGUACACAUUUCUACUUCUCACCUCUGGAAAAAAGUCCACACCGGCCGUCGACACCAGCGCCUGAGGGAGAAAGCAGGGAAGAAACUGAGGGUUCAUGAGAAACGUGUGCAUUUGCUCCAGGGGGGAAAAUGUUUCUGCAUCUGAUGGGAAGAAAUCUUUACAAGACACAGGUUUUCCGGUUUAAGUUCUGUGGCGGUGGACAGUUUAUAAAUCUGUACUUCAAGAGACUUCAUAGUUAUUUUGUCUAUUUAUUUUUGUUACUCUAUAUAUAAAUGUUUGUGUUUUCAUAUAUAAACAUACACAUAUGUCUGUAUUACGUAUUCUAAACUGAGAUUGCUGUAAGACAAUUGUAAAGAGAUGUCUUUUGUCCUCUCCUUGCAAAGCAAUGUAAAUAAAAUCUAUUGACUGUCCAGAAAGGCA
Marmota flaviventris (yellow-bellied marmot) is the source of this 878-nucleotide non-coding RNA. NCBI's taxonomy places the organism in Eukaryota, Metazoa, Chordata, Mammalia, Rodentia, Sciuridae. The record is from RefSeq and is a predicted model, not a curated record.